AUCCAGUUGACGAGUCCGAAAUAGGACGAAACGCGGGUUCUGUGAU
This 46-nucleotide non-coding RNA is filed under the name Schistosoma margrebowiei. The record is from RNAcentral. Lineage: Eukaryota; Metazoa; Platyhelminthes; Trematoda; Strigeidida; Schistosomatidae.